Molecule: ribosomal RNA, 541 nt
Filed under: uncultured bacterium
Lineage: Bacteria
Description: bacterial SSU rRNA
Rfam family: Bacterial small subunit ribosomal RNA
Source: RNAcentral
AAUAGAUACCCUGGUAGUCCACGCCCUAAACGAUGCUCACUAGGUGUUGGGGAAGCGAUUCCUUGGUACCGUAGCUAACGCGUGAAGUGAGCCGCCUGGGGAGUACGGCCGCAAGGUUAAAACUCAAAGGAAUUGACGGGGACCCGCACAAGCGGUGGAUGAUGUGGAUUAAUUCGAUGCAACGCGAACAACCUUACCUACCCUUGACAUGUCCGGAAGCCUGCUGAAAGGCGGGGGUGCUCGAAAGAGAACCGGAACACAGGUGCUGCAUGGCUGUCGUCAGCUCGUGUCGUGAGAUGUUGGGUUAAGUCCCGCAACGAGCGCAACCCUUGUCCCUAGUUGCUACGCAAGGGCACUCUAGGGAGACUGCCGGUGACAAACCGGAGGAAGGUGGGGAUGACGUCAAGUCCUCAUGGCCCUUAUGGGUAGGGCUUCACACGUCAUACAAUGGACGGUACAGAGGGUUGCCAACCCGGCGAGGGGGAGCCAAUCCCAGAAAGCCGUUCGUAGUCCGGAUCGCAGUCUGCAACUCGACUGCGUG